Molecule: ribosomal RNA, 497 nt
Filed under: uncultured bacterium
Lineage: Bacteria
Description: partial 16S ribosomal RNA
Rfam family: Bacterial small subunit ribosomal RNA
Source: RNAcentral
GACGAACGCUGGCGGCGUGCCUAAUACAUGCAAGUAGAACGCUGAAGAUAGGAGCUUGCUCUUCUUGGAUGAGUUGCGAACGGGUGAGUAACGCGUAGGUAACCUGCCUUGUAGCGGGGGAUAACUAUUGGAAACGAUAGCUAAUACCGCAUAACAAUGGAUGACACAUGUCAUUUAUUUGAAAGGGGCAAUUGCUCCACUACAAGAUGGACCUGCGUUGUAUUAGCUAGUAGGUGAGGUAACGGCUCACCUAGGCGACGAUACAUAGCCGACCUGAGAGGGUGAUCGGCCACACUGGGACUGAGACACGGCCCAGACUCCUACGGGAGGCAGCAGUAGGGAAUCUUCGGCAAUGGGGGCAACCCUGACCGAGCAACGCCGCGUGAGUGAAGAAGGUUUUCGGAUCGUAAAGCUCUGUUGUAAGUCAAGAACGAGUGUGAGAGUGGAAAGUUCACACUGUGACGGUAGCUUACCAGAAAGGGACGGCUAACUACGUG